UGGUUCCCUCAGCUGCUCCCAGCCCUUUAUCAGCAAAAUCAAAACGAUGCUGUAUAGCCCAUGGGCCAGCAGGGGGCCAUACAUAGUGAUUUAACCCAUAUGGUGGAUUCCAGAGCUUUCUAUCUCAGGCAGCAUGGAUCCUGAAGCAUGGGCCACAGGUGUAUGACCAAACAAAAGGCUGCACAAAACACUCGAUAAAUAAAACCUUUACACCAUAUUCAGGAGAAGCGAACUGAACAGAGAUUAUUUUGGAAAUAAGAUCCCAACGCAGGCAUUCACACAGCCCUUUAUCUUAGGGGAGUAUAACAUUACAAAACAGAAACAUUUCUUAGAGAGCAUGUAUUCUCUUUGCAAACUGGCCUUCGAACUGGUUUAUUUUUCUACAUGCCCCAUGUCCAAAAUCUCUCUCUACCUUUUUUCUUAUUCCAGCUUUUUGCAUAAUAAGUGCAUCCACAAUGCGAAGCCACAGCCAACCUUCCGUGGGUGACAAGGUGGCCCCAGAUAUCGGAAGAGUUAUAGAUAGCGGGAAGAGUUAUAGAGCUCCUUCUGGGAUCUGUAAGUCCCCAGAUAUCGGAAGGGACACCAGCCUUUACAGUAAAGACAGCCAGAUUCCAGCUUUCGUAUGAAGCUACCAGCUGCCUUGGAAAGGACCCACAGAUAAGAGUUGACAUUGGAGUUACCAUGAGGAAAGAAAAUGUUUUAUUUAGAAAAAUAUCUUGCUUGGUUUAGAAGAGGAGAUGUUGCAGGCAGACAUUAGUGAGAGUCAAGAAACAAGCUCUGUGCAUUAUAAAUAAGCAGCAGGUGGGUGAUGAAGGGGCGGCAGAAAAAAGGGAGGGAGGUGAGAAGGGGAGGAGA
This 855-nucleotide long non-coding RNA is filed under the name Felis catus (domestic cat). Its description in RNAcentral is "lncRNA (ENSFCAG00000053499.1)". The record is from RNAcentral. Lineage: Eukaryota; Metazoa; Chordata; Mammalia; Carnivora; Felidae.